GCUAUGUAGGGAAGGGAUAAACGCUGAAAGCAUCUAAGUGUGAAGCCCACCUCAAGAUGAGAUUUCCCAUGAUUUUAUAUCAGUAAGAGCCCUGAGAGAUGAUCAGGUUGAUAGGUUAGAAGUGGAAGUGUGGUGACACAUGUAGCGGACUAAUACUAAUAGCUCGAGGACUUAUCCAA
RNAcentral lists this ribosomal RNA (179 nucleotides) under Streptococcus thermophilus MTCC 5461. RNAcentral describes it as "partial 23S ribosomal RNA". It matches the Rfam family "Bacterial large subunit ribosomal RNA", at positions 2748 to 2925 of the family's 2925-position model. Lineage: Bacteria; Bacillati; Bacillota; Bacilli; Lactobacillales; Streptococcaceae. The record is from RNAcentral.